AAGAAAAACCACCGUAUAACAACGCUUAAUGUACAACCCUUCAGAUAUGUGUUGUAAAAAUUUAUCUUAGAUACACAAUAUAUGCGUUGCCCCCUUGGUCGUUGCAGAAAGCGUGAUUGUUAAAAAUUGGAAAGCGCGCAUGAGGAAAAUUUUGGGUGCCGCAGCGGGAGCUAUUUGGGCGCUCACGAAAUUUUCAUUUGUAUUGCAACUAGGCCCAGGCGGGUGCAUGCCUUAUCUUCUCCCAUCCCGGUCUAGUGCUAGUCCUGCAACUGCAAUCGAUCAGUGCUCGUCCGAUCUACCAGCGUCCUCCGCGCCGCCUCCCACCACCGUGCCCCUCCCUACUCAUCUACAUGUGCCCUUCCCAUCCGCGCCGCACUCCAUCACGACUGCCCCCGUCGGCAUCAGUAGGACUUGUGGGCGGUGGAGUGGAUCGACCUGCCUCUCGCUCCUCUGGCUGAUCUGGAUGGAGGUUUGACGGCGCUGCGGCACCAGCGCCCUUUCGACUCCACGACGCCGGCAUAGGUGCUCCAGCGAACCGAACGCACACUGGAUGCCCAGCACCCAGCCGCCACCGUAGCAUAGGGUUUCUGCACUGCCAGUAGCCAUCACCAGACAUCGUUGUUGUCCUGCCGCUGUUGGUUUGCUGUUUCAAACGAACAGGUUAGUCCUGCUAUUGUUGUUUCUCUAAUCUGCAGUACAUGGUGGAAGACGUAGUAUGCUGAUCGUGGUGGAUCUGUAGUGCUGCUAGCUAUGGGUUUGACAUGAAACCAGGUUAGUCCUGCUAUUGUUGUUUCUCUAAUCUGCGGUACAUGGUGGAAGACGUAGUAUGCUGAUCGUGGUGGAUCGGUAGUGCUGCUAGCUAGGGUUUUGACAUGAAACCAGGUUUCUUGUUCUUUUACCUGCCUAACUGAAGCCAGAAAGGAGUGAUUGUAAUCAUGGGACAUGUGGGGCGGACAAGACAAUAUCUCAGAUCGAUUCAACUGUGCUUAGUUAAAGAAAAAUAAUGACUCAUGUGUGCAGCUUGUGCGUUUCUUGGUCAGCAACAAUGAUGAUGUGAUCCUUCCUUACUUUAUAGUAGAUGACCGGAGGCAGCUGGAGCUGGGCAGGCUACCAACAGAUUGCAUACCAUAUCUGCAGCAGACAAGCUAUAUUUGUUUGUAGAUUGGCAAGCUCCAUUAUUUAUUUGGAAUUCAGGCAAUUAAAUAUUGAGUUGAACAACUGGACUUACCAUUGAUUACUGGAAACAUUGCACUAGGGGCAGAAGUGAGUAGCUAACAUAGUUUUUCUGGUCAUUGAUUGGAUUAGCUAGUAAGGCAUUAUGGAUCUAUAGAGGUAAAUAUAGAAGGGGAGAAGGGCUAUUGUAGGAACGACAUCCAUAUAUCCAGAAUUCGAUGGGAGGCGGCAUGGAGAAGACAUAAUUAAUUGUUUCACUUUAUUUCUUAGACGUAGUUUGGUGAAAAUGUGUCAUGAUGCAUACAGAUAACUACAUGAUUCGUUGUUUAAUGUUCAGUUUCCAUCAACAUGAUGUAUGUAACCCAGAUUGUAUUUCGAAUUUCAGUGAA
Lolium perenne is the source of this 1562-nucleotide long non-coding RNA. RefSeq lists it as uncharacterized. The record is from RefSeq and is a predicted model, not a curated record. NCBI's taxonomy places the organism in Eukaryota, Viridiplantae, Streptophyta, Magnoliopsida, Poales, Poaceae.